AACUUUUGGCAAUGGAUCUCUUGGCUCUCGCAUCGAUGAAGAACGCAGCGAAAUGCGAUACGUCAUGUGAAUUGCAGAAUUCAGUGAAUCAUCGAAUCUUUGAACGCACCUUGCGCCCUUUGGCAUUCCGAGGGGCACACCCGUUUGAGUGUCGUGACAUUCUCAAAAACCUUCUUUGGUUUCUUGACCAGGAAGGCUUUUGGACUUUGGAGGCUCUAGCUGUCCUUCCUUUAUUGAAGCCAGCACCUGUGAAAUGAAUUAGUGGGCUCUGCUUUGCCUAUUCUUGACAUGAUAAGAUGUUUUCUACGUCUUGGUUUUUGCACUGUUCCUGCUUCUAACCGUCUCAUGGCAGCCAAUGGUCAAGUGAUUGCCACUUGUCCCACAAUCCUUGACCUCAAAUCGGGUGAGACUACCCGCUGAACUUAAGCAUAUCAAUAAGCGGAGGCU
RNAcentral lists this unclassified non-coding RNA (447 nucleotides) under uncultured Russula. RNAcentral's name for it is "sequence contains ITS2". The stretch from base 1 to 154 matches the Rfam family "5.8S ribosomal RNA". Lineage: Eukaryota; Fungi; Basidiomycota; Agaricomycetes; Russulales; Russulaceae. The record is from RNAcentral.